CCUACGGGCGGCAGCAGUGAGGAAUAUUGGUCAAUGGACGAGAGUCUGAACCAGCCAAGUAGCGUGAAGGAUGACUGCCCUAUGGGUUGUAAACUUCUUUUAUAUGGGAAUAAAAUGUUCCACGUGUGGGAUUUUGUAUGUACCAUAUGAAUAAGGAUCGGCUAACUCCGUGCCAGCAGCCGCGGUAAUACGGAGGAUCCGAGCGUUAUCCGGAUUUAUUGGGUUUAAAGGGAGCGUAGGUGGAUUGUUAAGUCAGUUGUGAAAGUUUGCGGCUCAACCGUAAAAUUGCAGUUGAAACUGGCAGUCUUGAGUACAGUAGAGGUGGGCGGAAUUCGUGGUGUAGCGGUGAAAUGCUUAGAUAUCACGAAGAACUCCGAUCGCGAAGGCAGUUCACUGGACUGCAACUGACACUGAGGCUCGAAAGUGUGGGUAUCAAACAGGAUUAGAUACCCCUGUAGUC
RNAcentral lists this ribosomal RNA (460 nucleotides) under uncultured bacterium. Its description in RNAcentral is "partial 16S ribosomal RNA". It matches the Rfam family "Bacterial small subunit ribosomal RNA", at positions 338 to 795 of the family's 1533-position model. The record is from RNAcentral.